Molecule: ribosomal RNA, 788 nt
Filed under: Synalpheus cf. streptodactylus KMH-2014
Lineage: Eukaryota; Metazoa; Arthropoda; Malacostraca; Decapoda; Alpheidae
Description: SSU rRNA
Rfam family: Eukaryotic small subunit ribosomal RNA
Source: RNAcentral
GCGUGCGGGGGCCAAGCCGGUUCAGCCGGGGUGCUCUUGACCGAGUGUCCCGCGCGGCCGGCCGCUUCACCUUGAACAAAUGAGAGUGCUCAAAGCAGGCUACUCUUGACACUAAAGCCCGAAUGUUAACUGCAUGGAAUGAUGGAAGAUGAUCUCGGUUCCAUUUUGCUGGGCCCCUUUGGGAAUCCGAGUUAAUGAUAAACAGGGACUGUCGGGGGCAUCCGUACUACGACGCGAGAGGUGAAAUUCAGUGACCGUCGUAGGACGAACAACAGCGAAAGCAUUUGCCAAGAAUGUCUUCGUUGAUCAAGAACGAAAGUUAGAGGAUCGAAGGCGAUCAGAUACCGCCCUAGUUCUAACCCUAAACGAUGCUGACCAGCUAUUCGUUAGCGUUAUUCCCAUGACGUGGCGAGACGCCCCCGGGAAACCUCGAGUCUUUGAGUUCCGGGGGUAGUAUGGUUGCAAAACUGAAACUUAAAGGAAUUGACGGAAGGGCACCACCAGGAGUGGAGCCUGCGGCUUAAUUUGACUCAACACGGGAAACCUCACCAGGCCCGGACACCAGAAGGAUUGACAGAUUAAGAGCUCUUUCUCAAUUUGGUGGGUGGUGGUGCAUGGCCGUUCUUAGUUGGUGGAGUGAUUUGUCUGGUUAAUUCCGGUAACGAACGAGACUCUGGCCUACUAACUAGUGGGCGGGUGUUCCGGUAAGGGGCCCCGCCCGACAAAUGUCUUCUUAGAGGGAUGAGCAGCGAGUAUAGCUGCAGGAGAUUGAGCAAUAACAGGUCUGU